This 1424-nucleotide long non-coding RNA is filed under the name Equus asinus (donkey). RNAcentral's name for it is "lncRNA (ENSEASG00005029084.1)". The record is from RNAcentral. Lineage: Eukaryota; Metazoa; Chordata; Mammalia; Perissodactyla; Equidae.
CUUACAUGGCAUCAGGGAAGGGCCCUGAGCCAUGCGUGCCCGUCCUUGUGUUGUCCUCUGGUAUGGAGUGGCUGGUAUGGGUUGAAAGCAGGACUGCUAGCCUCAGUGGUAAAACUGGUCAUUUCUGUCCUUUUGAGAUGUCAUGCUGGUUCCUCUGUAGUUCCUUUGCAGAAGUCCAUACCUGAGCCAUUUGCCCUAUACACUGCAACCUUUGUACUGACCCCGGGUCCCUGCAGGUCCAUUGAUUCUCACAGUGCCGCGCUCUCUUCUCACUGAGACGUGUGGGAACUUCUAGGUUCCCCGAAUACCACAUGUAGGCCGUGCAGAGCCAGGAGCCUUGCUUUGCGCUCAUUUAUUGAGCCACUUCCCUCCAUCAAUGUUGCAUUAUUCUCCCCAUGUCAUACUGAACAUGCUGUCAAGCUGAAAGCAGAAUUCCUAGAGGGCUCAGCCUUUCACAGGAUGCCCAGAGAAGCAUACUAUCCCCAAUUUUCUUGGAUUUCCCCAUAUCUAUAUGAAUACUUCAACUCUGUACCUCCAGUUCUAGUUGCCACCAUGAGAAGGGACGGAAGAAACUCUUAGGAGGACCAGCUCAACUCUCAGGGGUCCCAGGGAUUUACGGUGAGGAGCGGUGGUAAUAACUGAGGGAGCUGCUAAUCUCUCGCAGUUGGACAAUCCUGGCUGAACAAAGUUCCCAACUCUGUGGGUCUGGCAGGCCAACUCUGUCCUGGCACCUGGUCAGUGUCCUACCUUUGAUGACUGGAUUCUGAUCACUUUAUGUUCCUUGCCUCGUUUCCUGUUUGCUGGACCUGCUCCUCCCAAGGUUCUAAUCUAUGUCGUGGACCUGGGCUGGUAAUUUGACCAAGAUUUCCCGUUUCCUUGCUUGGUAAAUCACCAAUCAUAUUGUUAUAAUCCACAUAAUUUGUGUUCUGUUGACACUAAUGACAAGAUAUACAACGUUUCUUGAAUCAACGUACUUAUUAGUUUUUUAUCUUUUUAUUACGGAAAAUUUCAAACAUUUACAAACAUAGAGGAUAAAAAACUCCAUGUACCUAUCAUCCAGCUUCAACAAUUGUUAACCCUUGGUUGAGCUUGCUUCAUCUAUACUCCCCAACUCUCUAAACCCAAUUAUUUUGAUGCAAAUCCUAGAUAUCAUUCUAUCCGUGAAUGUUAUCAAUAUGCAUCUCUAGAAAAAAGGAUUUCCUAAAAAAUUAACCUUAGUACUAUUGUCACAUGAAAAAAUAAUUCCUUAAUAUCAGAUGUUUUAAAAAUUUGUUUCAAUAAAAUUGGAAAAGUUUUAUUCAGCUGAGGCAGUAGCAACCAGAAUUGUUAGCAAAAUUUCUCAACAUUUAUAUUUGGAAAUGAACCAUGAAUUUUACAUAUUAAUUUCAAACAUUUUAAUGGGAUUGCAAUAAUGAUCAUUACCA